CUUUACUGUAGCCUGGUAUUGGGUUCGGGCUUUGACUGCGCAGGAUAGGUGGGAGACUAUGAAGCUGCCCUUGUGGGGGCAGUGGAGUCAUCAGUGAGAUACCACUCUGUCAAGGCUAGAAUUCUAACCGUCUGCCGUUAUCCGGCGACGGAACAGUAUCAGGUGGGCAGUUUGACUGGGGCGGUCGCCUCCUAAAUGGUAACGGAGGCGCGCAAAGGUUCCCUCAGGCUGGUUGGAAAUCAGCCGAAGAGUGUAAAGGCAGAGGGGAGCUUGACUGCAAGAGCAACAACUCAAGCAGGGACGAAAGUCGGCCUUAGUGAUCCGACGGCGCUGAGUGGAAGGGCCGUCGCUCAACGGAUAAAAGUUA
This 367-nucleotide ribosomal RNA is filed under the name uncultured organism. Its description in RNAcentral is "bacterial LSU rRNA". It matches the Rfam family "Bacterial large subunit ribosomal RNA", at positions 2099 to 2465 of the family's 2925-position model. The record is from RNAcentral.